GGCCUGCUGGCCCAAUGGCAAGGCGUUUGACUUCGAAUCAAAAGAUUACAGGUUCGAUCCCUGUGCAGGUCA
RNAcentral lists this transfer RNA (72 nucleotides) under Blumeria graminis f. sp. tritici. It matches the Rfam family "tRNA". From Rfam's summary of the family: Transfer RNA (tRNA) molecules are approximately 80 nucleotides in length. Their secondary structure includes four short double-helical elements and three loops (D, anti-codon, and T loops). RNAcentral also lists the same sequence under 2 other names. Lineage: Eukaryota; Fungi; Ascomycota; Leotiomycetes; Helotiales; Erysiphaceae. The record is from Rfam by way of RNAcentral.